ACCUACGGGGGGCAGCAGUGAGGAAUAUUGGGCAAUGGGGGCAACCCUGACCCAGCCAUGCCGCGUGAGUGAAGAAGGUCUUCGGAUUGUAAAGCUCUUUCGGACGUGACGAUGAUGACGGUAGCGUCUAAAGAAGCACCGGCUAACUACGUGCCAGCAGCCGCGGUAAUACGUAGGGGGCAAGCGUUAUCCGGAUUUACUGGGUGUAAAGGGAGCGUAGACGGCAAUACAAGUCGGAAGUGAAAUACCCGGGCUCAACUUGGGAACUGCUUUGGAAACUGUAUGGCUGGAGUGCUGGAGAGGUA
RNAcentral lists this ribosomal RNA (305 nucleotides) under uncultured bacterium. RNAcentral's name for it is "bacterial SSU rRNA". It matches the Rfam family "Bacterial small subunit ribosomal RNA", at positions 337 to 659 of the family's 1533-position model. The record is from RNAcentral.